UACGUAGGGUGCAAGCGUUAAUCGGAAUUACUGGGCGUAAAGCGUGCGCAGGCGGCUUUGCAAGACAGAUGUGAAAUCCCCGGGCUCAACCUGGGAACUGCAUUUGUGACUGCAUGGCUAGAGUACGGUAGAGGGGGAUGGAAUUCCGCGUGUAGCAGUGAAAUGCGUAGAUAUGCGGAGGAACACCGAUGGCGAAGGCAAUCCCCUGGACCUGUACUGACGCUCAUGCACGAAAGCGUGGGGAGCAAACGAGG
Molecule: ribosomal RNA, 254 nt
Filed under: uncultured bacterium
Lineage: Bacteria
Description: partial 16S ribosomal RNA
Rfam family: Bacterial small subunit ribosomal RNA
Source: RNAcentral